GACGAACGCUGGCGGCGUGCUUAACACAUGCAAGUCGAACGGAAAGGCCCUGCUUUUGUGGGGUGCUCGAGUGGCGAACGGGUGAGUAACACGUGAGUAACCUGCCCUUGACUUUGGGAUAACUUCAGGAAACUGGGGCUAAUACCGGAUAGGAGCUCCUGCUGCAUGGUGGGGGUUGGAAAGUGUCGGCGGUUGGGGAUGGACUCGCGGCUUAUCAGCUUGUUGGUGGGGUAGUGGCUUACCAAGGCUUUGACGGGUAGCCGGCCUGAGAGGGUGACCGGCCACAUUGGGCCUGAGAUACGGCCCAGACUCCUACGGGAGGCAGCAGUGGGGAAUAUUGCACAAUGGGCGGAAGCCUGAUGCAGCAACGCCGCGUGCGGGAUGACGGCCUUCGGGUUGUAAACCGCUUUCGCCUGUGACGAAGCGUGAGUGACGGUACUGGGUAAAGAAGCACCGGCUAACUACGUG
This 468-nucleotide ribosomal RNA is filed under the name uncultured bacterium. RNAcentral describes it as "partial 16S ribosomal RNA". It matches the Rfam family "Bacterial small subunit ribosomal RNA", at positions 28 to 507 of the family's 1533-position model. The record is from RNAcentral.